Molecule: signal recognition particle RNA, 256 nt
Filed under: Macaca mulatta (Rhesus monkey)
Lineage: Eukaryota; Metazoa; Chordata; Mammalia; Primates; Cercopithecidae
Description: Metazoan signal recognition particle RNA (ENSMMUG00000053330.1)
Rfam family: Metazoan signal recognition particle RNA
About the family: The signal recognition particle (SRP) is a universally conserved ribonucleoprotein. It is involved in the co-translational targeting of proteins to membranes.
Source: RNAcentral
GCCGGGCGAGGUGGCGGGCGCCUGUAGUCCCAGCUACACGGGAGGCUGAGGUAGGAGAAUGGCGUAAACCCGGGAGGCGGAGCUUACAGUGAGCUGAGAUCCGGCCACUGCACUCCAGCCUGGGCGACAGAGCGAGACUCCGUCUCAAAAAAAAAAAAAAAAAAAAUCACUCUGUCCCACAGGCUGGAGUGCAGUGGCUCAAUCUCGGCUCACUGCAACCUCCGCCUCCCGGGUUCAAGCGAUUCUCCUGUCUCCA